Non-coding RNA from Plectropomus leopardus (leopard coralgrouper), 579 nucleotides. The record is from RefSeq and is a predicted model, not a curated record. Lineage: Eukaryota; Metazoa; Chordata; Actinopteri; Perciformes; Serranidae.
AAGAGGUGUAGAGAGAGACAGCACUGUGUGGAGACACUUACAAGUCUGUUUUCUGAGACGCUGGCAGUAAAUAUAGGCCUAUGUGAGACUUUUUAGUUUAGAGAAGUCUUCUUCUGGGAAGUUAAUUUUAUCAAUACGUAUGAAUAAUUUUAAAGGAGCUGUGUCAUAUUCUUGAAAUAAGGAAGCUGCCUGCAGACCACGAAAUUUCCAGUUCACUUUCCGCUGCAGAUGAAUUUAUAGGAUAAGAGAGACUGAGUGAAGAAAACAAUGGAAAAGAGGGGGAAAGGCAAGAUGAGGAAGCAGAGAAAGGCUCCUCCUAUCUGCUUGCUGCUGCUGGCUCUGCUUCAAAUCACCGCACCCUCCUCAGCUCAAAACACCACUACCACCACCAGCACUUCAGCACCAAACCCUUCAGCUGUCAGUUACCGCACGCGGCCACGUGACAUCACAGUGGCUGUGGGAGAACCUGCAGUGUUUCAGUGUGGAGUGCCCAAAGCUUCUCCAAAUGUCACAUUCACCUUCUAUGGGAGCCACAGAAACUACAGCCUCAGAUGUCCCUCGGGCCACGUGGAAGAUAUU